GCAUGACUGAAUACUGUGUUUUUUUUAUUCGUAAUCUACACGGCCAGACACCAUGCCACAGUAGCCUUUCUGUUUCAUGGACUUCCGGUGUGCUGUGUCUUCUUCAUGGCGUAUCAUCUGUAAAGGUGAACACAAAG
Echinops telfairi (small Madagascar hedgehog) is the source of this 137-nucleotide small nucleolar RNA. RefSeq annotates it as small nucleolar RNA SNORA15. The record is from RefSeq and is a predicted model, not a curated record. Lineage: Eukaryota; Metazoa; Chordata; Mammalia; Afrosoricida; Tenrecidae. The transcript has a single exon.